Molecule: long non-coding RNA, 3473 nt
Organism: Mizuhopecten yessoensis (Yesso scallop)
Lineage: Eukaryota; Metazoa; Mollusca; Bivalvia; Pectinida; Pectinidae
Exons: 2
Source: RefSeq, a predicted model, not a curated record
CAAAAAGACAAUAGUUUAAGUUUUUAUUCCCGUAUCAUUCAGACAAUAAAUCAGUAAACUGGUGGGUACGACAGAACAUAGGUCCUGAUAUACACAUGUAGGUUAUAUACCUGGUCAAUGGACCUGGAAGUACAGUUCAGUCGACUAGGUGUGACAGAACAUAGGUCCUGAUAUACACAUGUAGGUUAUAUACCUGGUCAAUGAGCCUGGAAGUACAGGUCAGUCGACCAGGUGUGACAAAACAUAGGUACUGAUAUACACAUGUAGGUUAUAUACCUGGUCAAUGAGCCUGGAAGUACAGGUCAGUCGACCAGGUGUGACAAAACAUAGGUACUGAUAUACACAUGUAGGUUAUAUACCUGGUCAAGGAUCCUGGAAGUACAGGUCAGUCGACCAGGUGUGACAAAACAUAGCUCCUGAUAUACACAUGUAGGUUAUAUACCUGGUCAAUGGACCUGUAAGUACAGGUCAGUCGACCAGGUGUGACAGAACAUAGGCCCUGAUAUACACAUGUAGGUUAUAUACCUGGUCAAUAGACCUGGAAGUACAGGUCAGUCGACCAGGUGUGACAAAACAUAGGUACUGAUAUACACAUGUAGGUUAUAUACCUGGUCAAGGAUCCUGGAAGUACAGGUCAGUCGACCAGGUGUGACAAAACAUAGGUACUGAUAUACACAUGUAGGUUAUAUACCUGGUCAAUGGACCCGGAUGUACAGGUCAGUCGACCAGGUGUGACAGAGUAUAGGUCCUGAUAUACACAUGUAGGUUAUAUACCUGGUCAAUGAGCCUGGAAGUACAGGUCAGUCGACCAGGUGUGACAAAACAUAGGUACUGAUAUACACAUGUAGGUUAUAUACCUGGUCAAUGAGCCUGGAAGUACAGGUCAGUCGACCAGGUGUGACAAAACAUAGGUACUGAUAUACACAUGUAGGUUAUAUACCUGGUCAAUGAGCCUGGAAGUACAGGUCAGUCGACCAGGUGUGACAAAACAUAGGUACUGAUAUACACAUGUAGGUUAUAUACCUGGUCAAUGGACCUGUAAGUACAGGUCAGUCGACUAGGACGUCUAUCAUACAAAAACAUUCAAUCACAUAGCUCAGUAGAUUUAAGAAAAGAUUUCAAAAAACAUGUAUGACACGUUCUCAUGCAAGAUGCAGUUAAUAAAAAAGAUGAAAAUAUAGGUCUCUGAUAGAAGUAAGUUUGUUAUAGUUGUAAAACCAUCUACAUGUAUAUAGCUACCUGACUAGAGCAGAGCAGGACAGGUAAUUUAUAAAUGUAGUUUUCACUCUCAGCAGAGCAACCAUGGUUACAAUCUGUUUUUGAGAAACUGUUGGCUUUUUAUGGAUAUGGGUCCUGUCCUGAAAUUCUGAGGCAAUUAUUACCUGACAUCCACCAGAUAAUAUAAUACAUGUCUACACUUCUAGAUCACCCUAUUCACAUAGCGUACACAGAAAUGGUCUGAAUUCCCCAAUGAUCAUUUUACAUUGAACUGUACAUGUAGGAACAUCAGCAGCGGCAUGGAUGAACAUUACAUAAUACAAGAUAGCAAAGCAAUGCAUGUGACAUUUGAUAAGGUAAGUAAGAAAUGUAUAUAUCAACAAGAUGUUUAGGCCAUAUUAACAAUCUGACAAACUGAUGUAACAUACAACACUUAGGGAUUUGGUAAUAAAACAAUACAGCGUUCUCACAUAUAACAACAAACCAGUUACCACACUUAAUAUUCUGUCUUUGUUGAUUUGUUGAAAUUUGAUAAAUUACUUUGAGGACAUGCAUUUGAUAAAUGUGUCUUCAAAAUCUAAUCGCCUUGUAUUCAAAAGGACAAAAAUAAGCAGAAAUGAAACAGUAAAUCUGUUAUUUUGAAACUAGUAGAAAUCCUACACCUACAUAAAAUAGUGCUGCAAGCUUCACUAGGCGUUCCCAUGUUGUGUUAUAAGCUUCACUAGGCGUUCCCAUGUUGUGUUAUUUGCCUGAACAUUAUCAGUAUACUUGUGUUAACAGGGCAGUCUGAAGGCACGUCAUUGAUUGGCCGGUGCCACAGUCAUCAAAGCAUAAAGCUGUGGACAGGAGGUACAAUGUUUCUGUGAUUAUUUUGGAGUAAUUUUGUAUGAAUUUAGACAUGUAAGACUGAUAUAUAAAUGCCUUAAUGGAUCAAUGUGCUGGUGGGAAGAAUCCUACACAAUGUACUAAAAAUGUUUUGAGAGAAGAAAUUUUGAUAAGUCAGCAAAAUGCAGUAAGACAGAUUAAUUUAAUUAUAUCUAUUGUAUUAUCUUCUGAUAUUGAGCCUCAAGUAAUGAAAGGUCCUUAACCCAGGACACAGAAAACAGGUGUUGUGGUCGAUCAGUCACCCUAACAUAUCACAGAGGGCAGAUCUGUCACCCCAACAUAUCACAGAGGGCAGAUCUGUCGAGAAAGAUUUCAAACAGCUGAGUAUUGCUUUCCAGUAAUAUACAUGGAGCAUGUGUUCUACGGAGCAUCUUCUCAUAAACACAACCCCUUCUCUCUAAAUCAAAGGAGUGUCGUAGCAUCUUCUCAUAAACACAACUUCUCUCUAAAUCAAAGGAGUGUCAUAGCAACUUCUCAUAAACACAACCCCUUCUCUCUAAAUCAAAGGAGUGUCAUAGCAUCUUCUCAUAAACACAACCCCUUCUCUCUAAAUCAAAGGAUUGUCGUAACAACUUCUCAUAAAUACAACUUCUUCUCUCUAAAUCAAAGGAGUGAGAGUCACACCUGCAUUAGAAUAUAUCCAUUUUGUAAUUGAACAUAAAAUGCCCCAAAACACUUUGAGGUUAUUUAAAAAUCUACUACAUGCACAUGUAUUACACAUAUAUCUAAAUCAAUGUCUUUCAGAGAUUUGAUUUAUAAAUAGCCGUAUAUAUCUUUAUAGUGACUGUACUUAUACACAGACACUUAAUAUCAGUCAAUAGCACAUACAAAUCAGUAAUUUAUGUAUAAAUAAUUUAUACUUCAAUCAUAAAUUUCAGCAAAAAACAAAUACUAACAUGUCUGAAACUAAUUUCAUAAAAUUGCAAAAUUCAUAAACAAAAUUUAUGACAAUACUGCUAAACAUGUUUAGACCGUAAAAGUACCACGACCCUGAUGUUAUCCUUGAUUGGUCCAGCGCGACGGUACCUUUGACACACUGGGGAGUUGCUGAAAAUCAAAAUGCAUGCAAUAUUCCUCAAAGGUACCUACUACACCUACAAUAUCUUUUCUUCAAAGGUACCUACUACACCUACAAUAUCUUGGUUAAGGUAAACUUCUCAGGUAAAUCAUUAAUGGCCAAAAAUCCUGAUGACUUAUGAAAGUGGGUGGGGUUUGGUGGGGUACUGAACUUGAUUUGGGAAAGGGAUAUUACUAGGUAGGUGAUUGCUGAUGAGGCUGGAAUUGACUUGUUGUUCUCGUACAUGGAAAGGUAUAUGAUAAUUAGGGCAGUGUUAUUUCCUGAUAAUACUUUGGGUGUGGUAGAGGUCAGG